RNAcentral lists this ribosomal RNA (1399 nucleotides) under uncultured bacterium. RNAcentral's name for it is "bacterial SSU rRNA". It matches the Rfam family "Bacterial small subunit ribosomal RNA". The record is from RNAcentral.
AGAGUUUGAUCCGGCUCAGGAUGAACGCUAGCGACAGGCUUAACACAUGCAAGUCGAGGGGCAGCGGGGUAGUGCUUGCACUACUGCCGGCGACCGGCGCACGGGUGAGUAACACGUAUGGAACCUGCCCGCAGCAGGGGGAUAAGCGGAAGAAAUUCCGUCUAAUACCGCGUAAGAACGUUGGGAGGCAUCUCCCGAUGUUUAAAGAUUUAUCGGCUGCGGAUGGCCAUGCGGCGCAUUAGCUAGUCGGCGGGGUAACGGCCCACCGAGGCGACGAUGCGUAGGGGUUCUGAGAGGAAGGUCCCCCACACUGGUACUGAGACACGGACCAGACUCCUACGGGAGGCAGCAGUGAGGAAUAUUGGUCAAUGGCCGAGAGGCUGAACCAGCCAAGUCGCGUGAGGGAAGACGGCCCUACGGGUUGUAAACCUCUUUUGUCGGGGAGCAAAGCGAACCACGUGUGGUUCAUUGAGAGUACCCGAAGAAAAAGCAUCGGCUAACUCCGUGCCAGCAGCCGCGGUAAUACGGAGGAUGCGAGCGUUAUCCGGAUUUAUUGGGUUUAAAGGGUGCGCAGGCGGAGGUGCAAGUCAGCGGUCAAAUUGCGGGGCUCAACCCCGUACUGCCGUUGAAACUGCAUCCCUUGAGUGCGCGAGAAGUAUGCGGAAUGCGUGGUGUAGCGGUGAAAUGCAUAGAUAUCACGCAGAACUCCGAUUGCGAAGGCAGCAUACCGGCGCGCAACUGACGCUCAUGCACGAAAGCGUGGGUAUCGAACAGGAUUAGAUACCCUGGUAGUCCACGCAGUAAACGAUGAACACUAACUGUUCGGCCAGAAUGAUGGCUGAGUGGUACAGCGAAAGCGUUAAGUGUUCCACCUGGGGAGUACGCCGGCAACGGUGAAACUCAAAGGAAUUGACGGGGGCCCGCACAAGCGGAGGAACAUGUGGUUUAAUUCGAUGAUACGCGAGGAACCUUACCCGGGCUCAAACGACACAGGAAUACUUUGAAAGGAGGUAGCCCUACGGGGUCUGUGUCGAGGUGCUGCAUGGUUGUCGUCAGCUCGUGCCGUGAGGUGUCGGCUUAAGUGCCAUAACGAGCGCAACCCCUAUCGCCAGUUACCAUCAAGUAAAGUUGGGGACUCUGGCGAGACUGCCGGCGCAAGCUGAGAGGAAGGCGGGGAUGACGUCAAAUCAGCACGGCCCUUACGUCCGGGGCGACACACGUGUUACAAUGGCAGGUACAGAGAGAAGCCAGGUGGUGACACCGAGCGGAACUCGAAAGCCUGUCUCAGUUCGGAUUGGAGUCUGCAACCCGACUCCAUGAAGCUGGAUUCGCUAGUAAUCGCGCAUCAGCCACGGCGCGGUGAAUACGUUCCCGGGCCUUGCACACACCGCCCGUCAAG